This 23-nucleotide small nuclear RNA is filed under the name Arabidopsis thaliana (thale cress). Its description in RNAcentral is "snRNA_13562". The record is from RNAcentral. Lineage: Eukaryota; Viridiplantae; Streptophyta; Magnoliopsida; Brassicales; Brassicaceae.
UUCCUCUACAAUUUUGGAGUGGA